Molecule: long non-coding RNA, 2480 nt
Organism: Zophobas morio
Lineage: Eukaryota; Metazoa; Arthropoda; Insecta; Coleoptera; Tenebrionidae
Exons: 3
Source: RefSeq, a predicted model, not a curated record
GUAAGACGUCACUCUAGUUUCUGAUUCUUAUUUUGUUAGUUAAGUAGUCUAAGUGAGCGUCCCACUUGGAUCUAUGGUCAAUAACUACUUCAAGAUACUUAUAGCCCUGCUAGCACCAGAGGAGACCUCUAUCAGACAAUCGUACAUUGUCCCCUGACGAUCUUCCUUCUAGCGAGAUCGAUCGCAGUGCCAUCCGCACACCGUGCAAGGGGAACAGUGCUGACAGUUGAGAUAUCAGAAGUGAAGAUAAAAACAGCAGAGGUGACAAAAGGGAUCCCUGUGGGACACCUGCAGAAAGAGAGACACUAUUACUUGAAUCGGUUACGAAGAAAUAUUAUAGUUUACCAUUUUCAAAAUGACGGAGGAAAAGAGGAGGAGCAAUUAGUUUAUUGUCCCGUACAGGAUAUACCUUCUGGAAAGAAAUAAAAAUUGUAUGAAACGUGGGACAAGCAGAAACAAGUGUUGUGACACAAUCACGGGGCACUCAAUCGAAAAGACACGUGGUAUGAGAACGUUAUUUGUCAGAGUGAACUCCAAAACUGCCUUUCAUGUGUCUGCAUAAUCUUCAAGCAUUCAGGUUGUCUUCCCAGUACUUCGAUAUCAUAACUCGACUUUAUGUAGGAAAUGAGCACGUCACUUUUUUCCUUGCUGGUCGACGCUACUAGGCAGUCAUCAACGUAUAAAAGGUGUAGAAGAGGAGUGUCCUAUUGUGUACAUUCAAUAGUCGCUAUGGUCCUGGAUGAAGUCGGAGUUAAGGAGGUCUUCGUGCAUUGUCGCGUUCCAUCUCAAUCUAGAUUGCUUCAGUCCAAGUACUGAGUUGAGGAGACGCGCACAGUUAUAUCCUUUCGCCAGGUUAGCACCCUCAGGAAGGUACCAUUAACAUUGAAAAACUUGCAUGUUUAAUCUUGCUGCCAGACAUAGUAGUAUCCAUACAAAUAAUGUUGUCGUUUAGGCUAAAAGUAUGUAGAUCGUCUCCGUAUAUUUGCAUGUAUUCUUAGCACAGAUGCGGCCCUUGCAUCGAUCACUGGUGCCAUCAGCAUUAUUUUUCACUUGGAAGGCCCACUUGCAGCCAAUUUUCUUGAGUCUAGCUAUGAGAGAAGCAGGUUUCCAAGUUCGGUUUUUUUAUGAUAACCAAAUUCAUGCUGAAUGAACUUUAUCCAUUGACCUUAAACCGUGCCAUCCAGGGUUUCGCGAUAUGUUCUGGGUUCUGGUACCUCCCUGGCAUGUGUAGUAAGGGCAUAGGAUAAAAACGCAAAAUUAUAGGUGCAUUAGUAUCCUCAAGUUUGGUUUGUUUGUCCACACUCUCGAGUACACUAGCUUGACUUGAGGCAAUUCGUCUACUUCAGUGUUUCAAACCCACAGUUGUACUUGGAAUUGAACUUUCAAAAGGUAUAGUAGUUUCGGCGGAUGCGUUUCCAUCUAUUUCAGGAUGAAUAUUGACCGUAGUUGGGGCAUAUCCCGGGUUUGUCGGAGGAGGGGGACAUCGGUUCAUCUUAGGUACAUCCUCAGCGCUGAGUUUUGGUACUGUGUCUGAUUCCUGUAUAUCCCGCAAACGUACAACACUUGCCUUGUCAAGUGUUACUGAUCAUGUAGGAACAGAAUCCUGGUUUGCGGGUAAAUCCAGUGCAUUUUUGUAUACAACGGACUUAACAAAGGUUAAAUCUCCGUUGCUUAGUAUUGUAGAAGCUUUGGGGUCCCAAGUUUAAAAGCAGUAUCCCUCCGGAUCCAGAUCGAUGAAAAACCCUUUUAUGCUUCUAUCUCCAAGAUUUCCACGUGGAGUACAAUUCUACAUGUAAGCUCGCUUUAAAAAGGCGAAAACUCCUCAUGUUCGGUUUUCGUGAACUUAUUAAUUGAUAAGUAGUAGAGUGGGCGUUACGACCUGUACUUAGAAAAUCUUAUUUUGCGAACAGUAUGAUAGAGCUUUCCCCUGGAGGUACUUCGGUUGACCAGAACCAUAUAACAAAGCUCCCAUCAUGUUAAAUGCUGCCUGUAUGUUUCUUUCAGCAUUCCAUAGCGCUGUAGGGUAUGGUGUGGAUUAUAUGCAACAGUGAUACUUUUAGAGAUUAAUCGGUCAACAAGCCCUGGUGAUAAAAUUCCUUUGCAUAGUCGCAGUGUAAAGUUACCUUAACGUUUUAAUUGGGACGUAUUACACCGUUGAUGUUACUAGGUAUACUCUUAAAAGCAUCACUCUUUGUCUCCGAGGGUACCAAGAAAACUCCUUGUAAAAGCACUGACAAAAGACAAUGCAUGCCAAUAACCACCCUACGCUGCAGAAGUAAAUGGUCCUACAAUGUCAAAGUACACUAUUUCAUAAACCCAUGUAGCUUUUAACCAGUUUUCUUGAGCAAAGUUCAGUCGUCAUCCCUUAGCUUUUUGGCAAUACUCACAGACAGUAGCUUCAUAGGUGUCGGUGUUAUUAAAAUUUUCAGCGGUAUUGUUCUUGAAACGCUCAUCAGCAAACGCUUCAAAGUAUGCCCGAG